This is a long non-coding RNA of Amphimedon queenslandica, 1496 nucleotides long. RefSeq lists it as uncharacterized. The record is from RefSeq and is a predicted model, not a curated record. The transcript is spliced from 11 exons. Lineage: Eukaryota; Metazoa; Porifera; Demospongiae; Haplosclerida; Niphatidae.
AUCUAGGCAACAGUCUUGCGCCAACUCUUUCUUUCAUUAGAUCUUCUGAUGCUAAAAUAAAUUUCAGCUUUUCUUCUUUCUCCUAGCCAUGUGACACUAUUGAAAAGAUGAUUGCCUGUUUCACCACACCCAACAAUAUGCAAUGUUCACUCCUGCCCCACCCAUUUCAAUCACGUGUUUUUUUCUACUCUUUGCUUUGCUCUCAUUCUCACUGGAAUCUCACUCUAAGUCUGCUAGAUUUUUGACUGAGACUGUAUUUUUUGGAACAUUGAUAAUACAAUUAUUGUAGAUUCAGUUCCUUUUUUGUCCUUCAUUUUUAUUCCUUUCAGUGAUCUCAACUAAACUACUGCUGGAUGAUAUCGUUAGAAGCAUACCGGGCCUCGAUAGGUGUCUUUGCUAGUUAUAGGAGAUCUCUGCUAUCUCAUUCACCAACCAUCAACACUCCAGAUUGAAAACCAGUACAAAUUAGACACCUGCAAAUAUAUGACACCUAUACAUAUAUGAUUUUGCAACAGCACUACACAACUGGAUGGAGGGAAUUAGAAUCAACUGACGCCACUAUAUCAGUUAUGAGGAGAGCUUUUGGUGGAAUGCUCCACCAAAUGUAUCAAAUAGUGACCAUCAUUCCAUAGUUAUACUAUUUUUUAAAAGGCUUGUGAUGAUUUAGUCAGACUGUUUGGGACUACUAAAAGGUCAUACAUGUACAGCAACGUACACCUCCUUGCUGUCCUCCAUUGGCAGACUGGGCUUUCUUCUUGAUUGUUGGCCCUUUCUAUUGACAUCAGAAAAUUUUCAAAGAAGAAUGGCUUCAUCAUUACACCAAUUUUUUUGAUAAGACAGGUUCCUUUAAUUACCAUUUUUCCUGCAAAAGACAUGCUGUAUUUCUUUCAUAUAUUUAAUUCUACUAUAAUACACUGGGAGAGCAUUAGUAGUAAAUUCUACCUGCAAGUAUUUACAAUGACAUGUGAGCUCUUUUUACACUCAACUAGUACAUAUACAUGAUUUAUGCAUGGUUGGUGGAUAUGACAUGGUCCCAUCAUUUACAAAAGCAGAACUAAGGAAGGUUUUCCACCACACCACAAAAGAACACAGUGUGGCGGUUUUUCCAGGGGCAGCUGAGGGACACAGCUCCCCUAAAUCAAAGGCUCUAUUUUGCCACAAUGGCACCAGUCAAAUGGAAGAGGCAACACUCAUGAGGACAAUAAAUGUGAUUAGAUGCAUUGAAAUUCUUCAAAGACCUGUCCUAUGGUUCAAUAUCAGGACUAAAACUUUGGAAGAUGCUAUGAACACUCUACCGCUAUCAGGUGGCAUCACAUAGGGACACUACUAGUGAUGGGAGGGAGAGAAGAGGCAGUGUACUAAUGGAUAGAACUGACCUUGAUCUAAUACCAGAGGAUGUACCUGACCUUGUACAAUCUUUCAGAGAAGAAUAUGUCAGCUUGAGACCCGGACGAUGUAAAGUAGGGAGAAAAAGACUUAAAAGAAGCCUUAUGAUU